This 76-nucleotide transfer RNA is filed under the name Clostridioides difficile. RNAcentral describes it as "tRNA-Gln". It matches the Rfam family "tRNA". Rfam says of the family: Transfer RNA (tRNA) molecules are approximately 80 nucleotides in length. Their secondary structure includes four short double-helical elements and three loops (D, anti-codon, and T loops). Further hydrogen bonds mediate the characteristic L-shaped molecular structure. tRNAs have two regions of fundamental functional importance: the anti-codon, which is responsible for specific mRNA codon recognition, and the 3' end, to which the tRNAs corresponding amino acid is attached (by aminoacyl-tRNA synthetases). tRNAs cope with the degeneracy of the genetic code in two manners: having more than one tRNA (with a specific anti-codon) for a particular amino acid; and 'wobble' base-pairing, i.e. permitting non-standard base-pairing at the 3rd anti-codon position. Lineage: Bacteria; Bacillati; Bacillota; Clostridia; Peptostreptococcales; Peptostreptococcaceae. The record is from RNAcentral.
UGGGGAUUAGCCAAGUCGGUAAGGCACAUGACUUUGACUCAUGUAUGCGUCGGUUCGAGUCCUGCAUCGCCAGCCA